CCUGAUGCAGCCAUGCCGCGUGUAUGAAGAAGCCCUUCGGGUUGUAAAGUACUUUCAGUCGUGAGGAAGGCGGCGUCGUUAAUAGCGGCGUUGUUUGACGUUAGCGACAGAAGAAGCACCGGCUAACUCCGUGCCAGCAGCCGCGGUAAUACGGAGGGUGCGAGCGUUAAUCGGAAUUACUGGGCGUAAAGCGCAUGCAGGUGGUUUGUUAAGUCAGAUGUGAAAGCCCGGGGCUCAUCCUCGGAAUAGCAUUUGAAACUGGCAGACUAGAGUACUGUAGAGGGGGGUAGAAUUUCAGGUGUAGCGGUGAAAUGCGUAGAGAUCUGAAGGAAUACCGGUGGCGAAGGCGGCCCCCUGGACAGAUACUGACACUCAGAUGCGAAAGCGUGGGGAGCAAACAGGAUUAGAUACCCUGGUAGUCCACGCCGUAAACGAUGUCUACUUGGAGGUUGUGGCCUUGAGCCGUGGCUUUCGGAGCUAACGCGUUAAGUAGACCGCCUGGGGAGUACGGUCGCAAGAUUAAAACUCAAAUGAAUUGACGGGGGCCCGCACAAGCGGUGGAGCAUGUGGUUUAAUUCGAUGCAACGCGAAGAACCUUACCUACUCUUGACAUCCAGAGAACUUUCCAGAGAUGGAUUGGUGCCUUCGGGAACUCUGAGACAGGUGCUGCAUGGCUGUCGUCAGCUCGUGUUGUGAAAUGUUGGGUUAAGUCCCGCAACGAGCGCAACCCUUAUCCUUGUUUGCCAGCGAGUAAUGUCGGGAACUCCAGGGAGACUGCCGGUGAUAAACCGGAGGAAGGUGGGGACGACGUCAAGUCAUCAUGGCCCUUACGAGUAGGGCUACACACGUGCUACAAUGGCGCAUACAGAGGGCGGCCAACUUGCGAAAGUGAGCGAAUCCCAAAAAGUGCGUCGUAGUCCGGAUUGGAGUCUGCAACUCGACUCCAUGAAGUCGGAAUCGCUAGUAAUCGUGGAUCAGAAUGCCGCGGUGAAUACGUUCCCGGGCCUUGUACACUCCGAAAGUCACACCAUGGGAGUGGGCUGCAAAAGAAGUAGGUAGUUUAACCUUCGGGGGACGCUUACCCUAGAGUUUCCUGCUGCC
RNAcentral lists this ribosomal RNA (1101 nucleotides) under Vibrio sp. RNAcentral describes it as "bacterial SSU rRNA". It matches the Rfam family "Bacterial small subunit ribosomal RNA", at positions 382 to 1476 of the family's 1533-position model. The record is from RNAcentral. Lineage: Bacteria; Pseudomonadati; Pseudomonadota; Gammaproteobacteria; Vibrionales; Vibrionaceae.